RNAcentral lists this microRNA (25 nucleotides) under Danio rerio (zebrafish). Its description in RNAcentral is "Dre-Mir-338-P1_5p* (star (passenger))". Lineage: Eukaryota; Metazoa; Chordata; Actinopteri; Cypriniformes; Danionidae. The record is from RNAcentral.
AACAAUAUCCUGAUGCUGAAUGAGU